This 254-nucleotide ribosomal RNA is filed under the name uncultured bacterium. Its description in RNAcentral is "partial 16S ribosomal RNA". It matches the Rfam family "Bacterial small subunit ribosomal RNA", at positions 524 to 776 of the family's 1533-position model. The record is from RNAcentral.
UACGUAGGGGGGCAAGCGUUGUCCGGAUUUAUUGGGCGUAAAGAGCGUGUAGGCGGCCUGAAAGGUCAGCUGUGAAAACUCGAGGCUUAACCUCGAGACGUCGGUUGAAACCAUCUGGCUAGAGUCCGGAAGAGGAGAGUGGAAUUCCUGGUGUAGCGGUGAAAUGCGCAGAUAUCAGGAAGAACACCCGUGGCUAAGGCGGCUCUCUAGUACGGUACUGACGCUGAGACGCGAAAGCGUGGGGAGCGAACAGG